GCAUAUCAAUAAGCGGAGGAAAAGAAAAUAACAAUGAUUCCCUCAGUAACGGCGAGCGAAGAGGGAUAAGCUCAAAUUUUAAAUCUGUUGGGUUCCACUCGACAGAGUUGUAUUUUGAAGAAACGUUUUCUGCAUCCAGGAUUAGCCUAAAUCCUUUGGGAUAAGGUAUCAUGGAGGGUGAGAAUCCCGUUCAUGGUUAAUCUUAAGGAAGCUCUACGAUACGUUUUCCAAGAGUCGAGUUGUUUGGGAUUGCAGCUCAAAAUGGGAGGUAAAUUUCUCCUAAGGCUAAAUAUUGGCGAGAGACCGAUAGCGAACAAGUACCGUGAGGGAAAGAUGAAAAGAACUUUGAAAAGAGAGUUAAACAGUACGUGAAAUUGUUGAAAGGGAAACGAUUGAAGUCAGUCAUACCAACGGGAAAUCAACCUUUUGAUCUCGGUCUCGUGGGUUUUGAAGAGUUUCAAAGCCUUCGGAUUCGCGAGUUUGGGAUCUUUUGGUGUACUUUUUCGUACGGUUAGUCAACAUCGGUUUUGAAUGUCAUAAAAUGACUGGAGGAAUGUAGCUUCGAUCUCGUAUUGAAGUGUUAUAGCCUUUGGUAGAUGUGAUGUUUGAGACCGAGGAUUGCAACGGAUACCCUUCAGGGCUAUUCGUCUGAUCUCUGAUACGUUGCCCUGAUGUUGAAAGCUUGCUUAUGAUGUUUAGGGUAUUACGGUCAAAAGGUUAGAACGAAUUACAUUCGUUAAGGAUGUUGACGUAAUGGCUUUAAACGAC
Molecule: ribosomal RNA, 768 nt
Filed under: Funneliformis mosseae
Lineage: Eukaryota; Fungi; Glomeromycota; Glomeromycetes; Glomerales; Glomeraceae
Description: eukaryotic LSU rRNA
Rfam family: Eukaryotic large subunit ribosomal RNA
Source: RNAcentral